RNAcentral lists this unclassified non-coding RNA (345 nucleotides) under soil metagenome. RNAcentral's name for it is "partial contains 5.8S ribosomal RNA, internal transcribed spacer 2, and large subunit ribosomal RNA". The stretch from base 1 to 119 matches the Rfam family "5.8S ribosomal RNA", at positions 35 to 154 of the family's 154-position model. The record is from RNAcentral.
GAUGAAGAACGCAGCGAAAUGCGAUACGUAAUGUGAAUUGCAAAUUCAGUGAAUCAUCGAGUCUUUGAACGCACAUUGCGCCCCCUGGUAUUCCGGGGGGCAUGCCUGUCCGAGCGUCAUUGCUGCCCUCAAGCACGGCUUGUGUGUUGGGCCCCGUCCUCCGAUCCCGGGGGACGGGCCCGAAAGGCAGCGGCGGCACCGCGUCCGGUCCUCGAGCGUAUGGGGCUUUGUCACCCGCUCUGUAGGCCCGGCCGGCGCUUGCAGAUCAACCCAAAUUUUUAUCCAGGUUGACCUCGGAUCAGGUAGGGAUACCCGCUGAACUUAAGCAUAUCAAUAAGCGGAGGA